This 74-nucleotide transfer RNA is filed under the name Pseudanabaena sp. SU_2_4. RNAcentral's name for it is "tRNA-OTHER". It matches the Rfam family "tRNA". From Rfam's summary of the family: Transfer RNA (tRNA) molecules are approximately 80 nucleotides in length. Their secondary structure includes four short double-helical elements and three loops (D, anti-codon, and T loops). Further hydrogen bonds mediate the characteristic L-shaped molecular structure. tRNAs have two regions of fundamental functional importance: the anti-codon, which is responsible for specific mRNA codon recognition, and the 3' end, to which the tRNAs corresponding amino acid is attached (by aminoacyl-tRNA synthetases). tRNAs cope with the degeneracy of the genetic code in two manners: having more than one tRNA (with a specific anti-codon) for a particular amino acid; and 'wobble' base-pairing, i.e. permitting non-standard base-pairing at the 3rd anti-codon position. Lineage: Bacteria; Bacillati; Cyanobacteriota; Cyanophyceae; Pseudanabaenales; Pseudanabaenaceae. The record is from RNAcentral.
GGGGAUGUAGCGCAGCUUGGUAGCGCACCUCGGUUCGGACGGAGGGGUCGCAGGUUCAAAUCCUGUCAUCCCGA